RNAcentral lists this ribosomal RNA (252 nucleotides) under uncultured bacterium. Its description in RNAcentral is "partial 16S ribosomal RNA". It matches the Rfam family "Bacterial small subunit ribosomal RNA", at positions 524 to 776 of the family's 1533-position model. The record is from RNAcentral.
UACGAAGGGGGCUAGCGUUGCUCGGAAUUACUGGGCGUAAAGCGCACGUAGGCGGCUUUCUAAGUCGGAGGUGAAAUCCUGGAGCUCAACUCCAGAACUGCCUUCGAUACUGGAGAGCUUGAGUCCGGGAGAGGUGGGUGGAACUGCGAGUGUAGAGGUGAAAUUCGUAGAUAUUCGCAAGAACACCAGUGGCGAAGGCGGCUCACUGGCCCGGUACUGACGCUGAGGUGCGAAAGCGUGGGAGCAAACAGG